This 1232-nucleotide long non-coding RNA is filed under the name Manihot esculenta (cassava). Its description in RNAcentral is "long non-coding RNA (MESC_LNC000079)". The record is from RNAcentral. Lineage: Eukaryota; Viridiplantae; Streptophyta; Magnoliopsida; Malpighiales; Euphorbiaceae.
UCAUGUGUUUCCACAUGAACCAUUCGAUGCUAAUGUUUAUGUGAUGUGUGCUGUUUUUCAGUAAACGGAAUGCGAGGAACUCGUCGAUCAGCUAGAUUGACUAGAGUACCACCGGAGGAUGAGGGCACGAGCGCCCGUCCUCCAGCAUUGCCAAGGGCAAUGUCAAGUAGGUCCAACAGGGACAGAGCAGUGGGAGACCCUAGAAGGUCUCUGGAUCUGGGUAGAAACAGAUCAGUAAGAGGAACGGUUCAAGGAGGCAGGUCAGUGGAUGUGGGAGAAGAGAUGGAUGUGGACCAGAGGAGGGACGGUAGCCUUGGUGUAAGCAUGCUAGAAGAGGGCAUGGGUGAGUCUCAGGGAGGCACUCAGGCCUCGGGGUUUGUUCCACCACCCCAGUACCCACCUUUUUCACCAUACCACGGGUAUUCGAUGGGAAGUACAUCGGAUUACCCCAGUUUUAAUCCUUACCCUUCUCACAUGCCAUACCCACCUUUCUACCCACAGUAUCCACAGUACCCUAUGUACCCACCUCCAUCCUUCCAUCCAGGCACAGCAAACCCUAUCCCAGGGGAUGCCGCACCUCCACCACCAGCAGAAACCGCAGUUACAGAAACCCAAAGACCUCAACCUACCUCAUCUGGAGGGAGCAAGGCCAAGAUGACCGACUAUAUGAAGUUGGGUGCUCCCCAGUUUGAUACCGGUGAUGAUCCGUUUGUGUACCUGGAGAAGGUCAAAACAAUUACAGAUGAGAUAGGUGCUGAUGACAGCAGAGCCAUUCAGAUGGCUGGUUUCACCCUGAAAUGCAAAAAGGCACGAGAGUGGUUCAAGGGCUAUGUGAAACCGAGGGUGGACAGUCUUUCAUGGGAGGAGUUUGCGAAUGAGUUCGCAGGAUGGGCUUUCCCUGACAGUUUAAGGGAGCUGAAGAUGAUUGAGUUUGAACAGCUGAGGCAGACAGAUGAGAUGGGUGUCGAUGAGUACACCGAUAGAUUCUUAGAGUUGUUGCCGUUUGCUGGGCAACAUCUGGACACAGAUCCGAAGAAGUCAAGGAGGUAUAUCAUGAGGCUCCAUUCCAGGUAUUCCUCCUUGAUUCAGUCAGCUGAUAGAGAAAGUUUCCAUGCCAUUGUAGACAUGGCCAGGAGAAUGGAGGCUAGUGCAAUCAUCGAGGGGACAGUUAAACAGUCAGUGACACAGCCUUCAGGUUCUAAGACCCCAGGUGGGGGAAGGAUAGACCCUUC